Molecule: long non-coding RNA, 591 nt
Filed under: Homo sapiens (human)
Lineage: Eukaryota; Metazoa; Chordata; Mammalia; Primates; Hominidae
Description: HSALNT0319458
Source: RNAcentral
GCUUGCUCUCUUUCCACCACAUGAGAACACAGUAAGAAGGUGGCCAUCUACAAGACAGGAAGAGGGCCCUCACCACGCUAGCUCCCCAGUCUCAGACUUUCAGGCUCCGGAACUGUGGGAAAAUGAAUUUCAAGUCUUUAAGCCUCCCAGUCUAUGGCAUUUUGUUAAGGUAGCUUGAGUUGACUAAUAACAGUAACCAUUUGUAGAGGGUUUAUCCCACGUUUACCUGGAGUAACAAAGAGAGAUACAUCCCUAAAGAAGUCAUUGCCAUGUCAUAGGAAAAUCUGUACCAGGAAUGUUCCCUGGGCAGACUGUUGAGAAACUUCAGACUGAGAUUUAGGGAGAAGAGAAGAACCUAGGAAUAAAGCCCAAGUCAAAUCUACAUUGUCUGAAUGGAAGAUUCUUGAAUUCAAGAAUGAGAACCUCAAACAGUAAGCAGCGAGGAAAACUAGAGAGCAGACGAAGCUCAUGGUUAAAACCCAGUCUUUUAUAGCUGACAGAUAUGGGUUUAAUCUCAGCUUUAUCAGUAACUGCGUAACUUUGAACAAGUAAAUUUACUUGGUUUUAGCUUUCUUAGCUCUAAAGUUAGGA